GAUGAACGCUGGCGGCGUGCCUAAUACAUGCAAGUCGAGCGAACAGACGAGGAGCUUGCUCCUCUGACGUUAGCGGCGGACGGGUGAGUAACACGUGGAUAACCUACCUAUAAGACUGGGAUAACUUCGGGAAACCGGAGCUAAUACCGGAUAACAUGUUGAACCGCAUGGUUCAACAGUGAAAGACGGUCUUGCUGUCACUUAUAGAUGGAUCCGCGCUGCAUUAGCUAGUUGGUAAGGUAACGGCUUACCAAGGCAACGAUGCGUAGCCGACCUGAGAGGGUGAUCGGCCACACUGGAACUGAGACACGGUCCAGGCUCCUACGGGAGGCAGCAGUAGGGAAUCUGCCGCAAUGGGCGAAAGCCUGACGGAGCAACGGCGCGUGAGUGAAGAAGGUCUUCGGAUCGUAAAACUCUGUUAUUAGGGAAGAACAAAUGUGUAAGUAACUGUGCACGUCUUGACGGUACCUAAUCAGAAAGCCACGGCUAACUACGUG
This 497-nucleotide ribosomal RNA is filed under the name uncultured bacterium. RNAcentral's name for it is "partial 16S ribosomal RNA". It matches the Rfam family "Bacterial small subunit ribosomal RNA", at positions 28 to 507 of the family's 1533-position model. The record is from RNAcentral.